GUGUCAGCCGCCGCGGUAAGACGAACCGUACAAACGUUAUUCGGAAUCACUGGGCUUAAAGGGUGCGUAGGCGGCCCGGCAAGUUGGGUGUGAAAUCCCUCGGCUCAACCGAGGAAUUGCGCUCAAAACUGCCGGGCUCGAGGGAGAUAGAGGUGAGCGGAACUUAGGGUGGAGCGGUGAAAUGCGUUGAUAUCCUAAGGAACACCGGUAGCGAAAGCGGCUCACUGGGUCUCUUCUGACGCUGAGUGCACGAAAGCUAGGGGAGCGAAGAGGAUUAGAUACCCUCGUAGUCCUAGCUGUAAACGAUGAGCACUUGGUUGGAGGGUCCUCCAUAGCCCUCCAGCCGGAGCGAAAGUGUUAAGUGCUCCGCCUGGGGAGUAUGGUCGCAAGGCUGAA
RNAcentral lists this ribosomal RNA (396 nucleotides) under uncultured bacterium. Its description in RNAcentral is "bacterial SSU rRNA". It matches the Rfam family "Bacterial small subunit ribosomal RNA", at positions 505 to 898 of the family's 1533-position model. The record is from RNAcentral.